AAAUUAGGAUAUCCUUUUAAACUCAAAAAACUAUCCCAAUCAAAUUCAAAAUAAAGUGCAAAAUAUUUUUGGAAUAACUAUACCUUAUUCAAAUUUAUUACAUAAGUGGUGAUAUAUAUUUGCAUAAGUUCAUCUUCAUUAGUCUGGUCUUUACCUAUCCUGGAUAAGUAGAAUAGAGGAAAAAGAUUCUAAUUGAGAGUAUCUCAAACCCAUCCACAAAAAUUUAAUCCACUAUCAAACAAUGACCUUCUGCCACC
Molecule: long non-coding RNA, 257 nt
Filed under: Elaeis guineensis (African oil palm)
Lineage: Eukaryota; Viridiplantae; Streptophyta; Magnoliopsida; Arecales; Arecaceae
Description: long non-coding RNA (EGUI_LNC058788)
Source: RNAcentral